Long non-coding RNA from Leptinotarsa decemlineata (Colorado potato beetle), 474 nucleotides. RefSeq lists it as uncharacterized. NCBI's taxonomy places the organism in Eukaryota, Metazoa, Arthropoda, Insecta, Coleoptera, Chrysomelidae. The record is from RefSeq and is a predicted model, not a curated record.
CCACUGUUGCCAGUUGUUAUUGUUUGUUUUCCCAGUAUUUAUUUGAAAAAAUGUCGGAACCUAAUUUGAAUUGUACAAUGUGAAUUUCAAAGAAAUUGAAUUGCUCAUUACUUAUGGCGCUACCUUGUAUAAUUACGUAUGAUGUUUGAGAGAGAUUCAAGAAGUAGCAGUGGCUGGUAUUUUGUACCAGGAAAUUCCCGUCUUUGAAGUGCUGCAAUUAAAAUUUAUAUUUAGUCUAUUAGCUUCGAAUUAUUACUGUAAGCAGAACAAACUACUGUUUCUCAACAAACGUUUCACUAGCCAAGUAAGCAACAUCAUGAGAUUACUAGAGAUGAUAGAACUAGCUGAAGAAGUAACUUUGUAAAUUCAAAGAUGUCUACAGUGUGUAUUUAAUAGUCAUGUGAUCAUAUAAUUUUUUGAAAACAUGUACAUAUGAUUAAGAAACAACUACUAAAUAAAUAUAAACGAUAUGAA